Molecule: ribosomal RNA, 253 nt
Filed under: uncultured bacterium
Lineage: Bacteria
Description: partial 16S ribosomal RNA
Rfam family: Bacterial small subunit ribosomal RNA
Source: RNAcentral
UACGGAGGGUGCGAGCGUUGUCCGGAUUUAUUGGGUUUAAAGGGUGCGUAGGUGGCUUGUUAAGUCCGGGGUGAAAGCCCACAGCUCAACUGUGGAACUGCCCUGGAUACUGGCGAGCUUGAGUCCAGACGAGGUUGGCGGAAUGGAUGCUGUAGCGGUGAAAUGCAUAGAUAGCAUCCAGAACCCCGAUUGCGUAGGCAGCUGACUAGGCUGGUACUGACACUGAGGCACGAAAGCGUGGGGAGCGAACAGG